GACGUAAUAGUAAUUAACUAAAUAUUAACGUAUAUUAAAAAUUUUAAAUAAAGAAGAAGAAGAAAAGAAGAAUUCGCUUCUUCUUCUCCCUCGCUGGAACGAUCAUUCUCUGCCUCCGCCAUAAAAAGGCCAUAAAUUUCCUUCUGCUACCAUCAUUUUCUGCAGAUUGUAUCGAUCGUUCUAUCAUACACGUCAUGGUGAGAGGGUUGCUCAACAAGAUCGUCUCUCGAUCUCUUUCUGUGGCAGGCAAAUGGCAGCAGCAACAGCUCCGCCGUCUUAACGUCCAUGAGUAUCAGGGGGCUGAGUUGAUGAAAAAUAUGGGAUCAAUGUGCCUAAGGGUAUUGAUAUUUCUUCUGUUGAUGAAGCAAAAAACGCAGUUCAAAUUGGUUUUCCUGAUGCGAAAGAGUUGGUCGUUAAGAGUCAAAUUUUGGCUGGUGGAAGAGGUUUGGGAACAUUCAAAAGCGGCUUAAAGGUGGAGUACACAUAGUGAACGUGGAACAGGUUGAAGAGCUUGCUGGUAAGAUGCAUGGGCAGAUACUUGUCACUAAACAAACUGGUCCUCAGGGCAAAGUUGUCAGUAAGGUUUAUCUCUGUGUGAGAAGUUGUCACUUAUCAACGAAAUGUACUUAACUAUCACUCUGGAUCGUAAAACUGCCGGUCCAUGUUGGCAAGCAAGGAGCGAUGUUUUGAUGUCAUCCAUUUGUUUGUUGUUUGUUGUUUGGAAGGUACGUAUUGAUGUUUUCCAAGGAAUUACAGACGAAGACGCUGCGAAGGUGGUGAUAAUCAGCUGGUUGCUGCUGAUGCUAAGCUGAAGUUUGAUGAUAGAAAAAGCAGGAGGAUGCUGGAGAGGUGUGGUUUUUGUCAUUGUUUAUAGGAGAAUGCAUGAAAAUGCACAUGAAGGGCAGGUAAAUAUUUAACAAUAAUAAUAUAAUUUAGAAAAUAUUGAGUACCUUGUUUGCCGCAAAACGAAAGAAGCCAAAAUUUUAAUAAUAAUGAGUAGCUUUUUUUUGCUGAGAUGCACGAGUUUUAGUGGUUGAAUCUGUAACCUCCCAGAUUAUCUAAUAAUAUGUUAUUUCAAAAUUUGAUUUUCC
This is an RNA transcript of Cucurbita maxima (winter squash), 1091 nucleotides long. It is a transcript of the gene named succinate--CoA ligase [ADP-forming] subunit beta, mitochondrial-like, with no coding region annotated. The transcript has 6 exons. The record is from RefSeq and is a predicted model, not a curated record. NCBI's taxonomy places the organism in Eukaryota, Viridiplantae, Streptophyta, Magnoliopsida, Cucurbitales, Cucurbitaceae.